This is a non-coding RNA of Vicia faba (fava bean), 276 nucleotides long. Lineage: Eukaryota; Viridiplantae; Streptophyta; Magnoliopsida; Fabales; Fabaceae. The record is from the annotation of a GenBank genome assembly.
AUGCCCGAAGGGCUUCUUUUCAGCACUGGAGCUAAGUUUGGUUUAACUGUAUUGAAGAAGUCGCAUCAACCUUUUGCUUUGAAAAGUUUGAACUAUUGUGAAGGGUGUGUACGAGGGACAAAGGAACAAGAAAGCAGAGUUGCAUUGGAAGGACAAAUUGAACUAAAUUCUGUGAUUAUGCACAGACAUGACCAUGCGUGGACAAUAAUUAUGCAGAUAAAGAGCAUGUACAAAAGAGUAAAGCCACUGCUAGAAAAAAAAUUACCAGAUUUUUGA